RNAcentral lists this ribosomal RNA (383 nucleotides) under Bradyrhizobium sp. 11LoS20_7. RNAcentral's name for it is "bacterial LSU rRNA". It matches the Rfam family "Bacterial large subunit ribosomal RNA", at positions 1 to 270 of the family's 2925-position model. The record is from RNAcentral. Lineage: Bacteria; Pseudomonadati; Pseudomonadota; Alphaproteobacteria; Hyphomicrobiales; Nitrobacteraceae. RNAcentral also lists the same sequence under 1 other name.
AAUCAAGUGCCUUAAGGGUGUUCGGUGGAUGCCUUGGCGCUGAGAGGCGAUGAAGGACGUGCUACGCUGCGAUAAGCCGUGGGGAGCUGCGAAGAAGCUUUGAUCCAUGGAUUUCCGAAUGGGGAAACCCACCUUCGAUAGCCGGAACUCCAAGACCUCAGUCGAAAGACUGUGGUGUGGGGUUCGAUCAGAAAUGAGAGAUGCCUAGGCCUUUAGAUUUCGAUCGAGAGGUUUUGGAUUUCCGGUUAUCAAGAGAAGGUAUGAGACUUCUGAAUACAUAGGAGGUUUCAAGCAAACCCAGGGAACUGAAACAUCUAAGUACCUGGAGGAAAGGACAUCAACAGAGACUCCGUUAGUAGUGGCGAGCGAACGCGGACCAGGCC